RNAcentral lists this ribosomal RNA (425 nucleotides) under Salmonella enterica subsp. enterica serovar Kentucky. RNAcentral's name for it is "partial 23S ribosomal RNA". It matches the Rfam family "Bacterial large subunit ribosomal RNA", at positions 1084 to 1426 of the family's 2925-position model. The record is from RNAcentral. Lineage: Bacteria; Pseudomonadati; Pseudomonadota; Gammaproteobacteria; Enterobacterales; Enterobacteriaceae.
CCCAGACAGCCAGGAUGUUGGCUUAGAAGCAGCCAUCAUUUAAAGAAAGCGUAAUAGCUCACUGGUCGAGUCGGCCUGCGCGGAAGAUGUAACGGGGCUAAACCAUGCACCGAAGCUGCGGCAGCGAACGUAUCACUUAAAGCGAUUCAGCGGAUUACGAUUGACGGAGCGAAGCGACGUCAAAGCGUAUACAAAGUCGAGUCGGUUUAAGGAUACGUUCGUUGGGUAGGGGAGCGUUCUGUAAGCCUGUGAAGGUGGCCUGUGAGGGUUGCUGGAGGUAUCAGAAGUGCGAAUGCUGACAUAAGUAACGAUAAAGCGGGUGAAAAGCCCGCUCGCCGGAAGACCAAGGGUUCCUGUCCAACGUUAAUCGGGGCAGGGUGAGUCGACCCCUAAGGCGAGGCCGAAAGGCGUAGUCGAUGGGAAAC